GGGGCUGUAGCUCAGCCUGGCAGAGCACCUGCAUGGCAUGCAGGGGGUCAGGGGUUCGAAUCCCCUCAGCUCCA
This 74-nucleotide transfer RNA is filed under the name Acidimicrobiia bacterium. RNAcentral's name for it is "tRNA-Ala". It matches the Rfam family "tRNA". Rfam says of the family: Transfer RNA (tRNA) molecules are approximately 80 nucleotides in length. Their secondary structure includes four short double-helical elements and three loops (D, anti-codon, and T loops). Lineage: Bacteria; Bacillati; Actinomycetota; Acidimicrobiia. The record is from RNAcentral.